UGUCGGUCCCCUCGCAACGUGAAGUUGUGAACCCCGUCAGGUCCGGAAGGAAGCAGCGGCAGCAGCAGAUACGUGUGCCGGGGUGUGGCUGGCAUGG
Molecule: signal recognition particle RNA, 97 nt
Filed under: Candidatus Parabeggiatoa sp. HSG14
Lineage: Bacteria; Pseudomonadati; Pseudomonadota; Gammaproteobacteria; Thiotrichales; Thiotrichaceae
Description: signal recognition particle sRNA small type
Rfam family: Bacterial small signal recognition particle RNA
About the family: The signal recognition particle (SRP) is a universally conserved ribonucleoprotein involved in the co-translational targeting of proteins to membranes. Archaeal SRP consists of a 7S RNA and homologues of the eukaryotic SRP19 and SRP54 proteins.
Source: RNAcentral